RNAcentral lists this ribosomal RNA (253 nucleotides) under uncultured bacterium. RNAcentral's name for it is "partial 16S ribosomal RNA". It matches the Rfam family "Bacterial small subunit ribosomal RNA", at positions 524 to 776 of the family's 1533-position model. The record is from RNAcentral.
UACGUAGGGUGCAAGCGUUGUCCGGAAUUAUUGGGCGUAAAGAGUUCGUAGGCGGUUUGUCGCGUCCGUUGUGAAAGCUUGGGGCUCAACCCCAAGUCUGCAGUGGAUGCGGGCAGACUAGAGUCAGGUAGGGGAGAACGGAAUUCCUGGUGUAGCGGUGAAAUGCGCAGAUAUCAGGAGGAACACCGGUGGCGAAGGCGGUUCUCUGGGCCUGUACUGACGCUGAGGAACGAAAGUGUGGGGAGCGAACAGG